This 422-nucleotide ribosomal RNA is filed under the name uncultured bacterium. RNAcentral describes it as "partial 16S ribosomal RNA". It matches the Rfam family "Bacterial small subunit ribosomal RNA", at positions 360 to 774 of the family's 1533-position model. The record is from RNAcentral.
AAUAUUGGACAAUGGGGGCAACCCUGAUCCAGCCAUGCCGCGUGUGUGAAGAAGGUCUUCGGAUUGUAAAGCACUUUAAGUUGGGAGGAAGGGCUUUAGGUUAAUACCCUGAAGUUUUGACGUUACCAACAGAAUAAGCACCGGCUAACUCUGUGCCAGCAGCCGCGGGAAUACAGAGGGUGCAAGCGUUAAUCGGAAUUACUGGGCGUAAAGCGCGCGUAGGUGGUUCAGUAAGAUGGGUGUGAAAUCCCCGGGCUUAACCUGGGAAUUGCGUUCGAUACUGCGCUGCUAGAGUCUGGGAGAGGGAAGGGGAAUUCCGGGUGUAGCGGUGAAAUGCGUAGAUAUAGGAAGGAACACCAGUGGCGAAGGCGACUACCUGGACUGAUACUGACACUGAGGUGCGAAAGCGUGGGGAGCAAACA